Molecule: ribosomal RNA, 385 nt
Filed under: uncultured bacterium
Lineage: Bacteria
Description: bacterial SSU rRNA
Rfam family: Bacterial small subunit ribosomal RNA
Source: RNAcentral
AUUAAACGCUGGCGGCAUGCCUUACACAUGCAAGUCGAACGGCAGCACGGGGGCAACCCUGGUGGCGAGUGGCGGACGGGUGAGUAAAGCAUCGGAACGUAUCCUGGAGUGGGGGGAUAACGUAGCGAAAGUUACGCUAAUACCGCAUAUUCUGUGAGCAGGAAAGCAGGGGAUCGCAAGACCUUGCGCUCUGGGAGCGGCCGAUGUCGGAUUAGCUAGUUGGUGGGGUAAAGGCCUACCAAGGCGACGAUCCGUAGCGGGUCUGAGAGGAUGAUCCGCCACACUGGGACUGAGACACGGCCCAGACUCCUACGGGAGGCAGCAGUGGGGAAUUUUGGACAAUGGGCGGAAGCCUGAUCCAGCCAUGCCGCGUGAGUGAAGAAGG